Molecule: ribosomal RNA, 2019 nt
Filed under: Porticoccaceae bacterium
Lineage: Bacteria; Pseudomonadati; Pseudomonadota; Gammaproteobacteria; Cellvibrionales; Porticoccaceae
Description: partial 23S ribosomal RNA
Rfam family: Bacterial large subunit ribosomal RNA
Source: RNAcentral
GAAACCCACCUGGCAUAAGCCAGGUAUCGUACACUGAAUACAUAGGUGUACGAAGCGAACCCGGAGAACUGAAACAUCUAAGUACCCGGAGGAAAAGAAAUCAACCGAGAUUCCCUUAGUAGCGGCGAGCGAACGGGGAGCAGCCUGCAAGUGAUAGUAGAAGUGUUAGUGGAACAGUCUGGAAAGUCUGGCAAUAAAGGGUGAUAGCCCCGUACACGAAAACUCAUCUAUGGUACUAAGCUUGCGAAAAGUAGGUCGGGACACGAGUUAUCUUGACUGAACAUGGGGGGACCAUCCUCCAAGGCUAAAUACUACCAACUGACCGAUAGUGAACUAGUACCGUGAGGGAAAGGUUAAAAGAACCCCGGAGAGGGGAGUGAAAUAGAUCCUGAAACCGUAUGCGUACAAGCAGUAGGAGCAGACUUGUUCUGUGACUGCGUACCUUUUGUAUAAUGGGUCAGCGACUUAUUUUCAGUGGCAAGGUUAACCGUAUAGGGGAGCCGUAGGGAAACCGAGUCUUAAUAGGGCGUCUUAGUCGCUGGGAAUAGACCCGAAACCGGGCGAUCUAUCCAUGGCCAGGUUGAAGGUGCCGUAACUGGAGGACCGAACCCACUAAUGUUGAAAAAUUAGGGGAUGAGCUGUGGAUCGGAGUGAAAGGCUAAUCAAGCCCGGAGAUAGCUGGUUCUCCUCGAAAGCUAUUUAGGUAGCGCCUCAUGUCUCACCACUGGGGGUAGAGCACUGUUUCGGCUAGGGGGUCAUACCGACUUACCAACCCGAUGCAAACUCCGAAUACCAGUGAGUGCAAUCAUGGGAGACACACGGCGGGUGCUAACGUUCGUCGUGGAGAGGGAAACAACCCAGACCGCCAGCUAAGGUCCCAAAUAUCAGUUAAGUGGGAAACGAUGUGGGAAGGCUCAGACAGCUAGGAGGUUGGCUUAGAAGCAGCCAUCCUUUAAAGAAAGCGUAAUAGCUCACUAGUCGAGUCGGCCUGCGCGGAAGAUUUAACGGGGCUAAACUGAUAACCGAAGCUGCGGAUGCAUGUUUACAUGCAUGGUAGAGGAGCGUUCUGUAAGCCGUUGAAGGUGCAUCGUAAGGUGUGCUGGAGGUAUCAGAAGUGCGAAUGCUGACGUGAGUAACGAUAAAGCGGGUGAAAAACCCGCUCGCCGGAAGAUCAAGGUUUCCUGUCCAACGCUAAUCGGGACAGGGUUAGUCGGUACCUAAGGCGAGGCCGAAAGGCGUAGUCGAUGGAAAACAGGUUAAUAUUCCUGUACCGCUAUAUACUGCGAUGGGGGGACGGAGAAGGCUAGGUGAUCAGGGCGUUGGUUGUCCCUGUAUAAGCAUGUAGGGAGAUUCCUUAGGUAAAUCCGGGGAAUCACUAUCCUGAGACGCGAUAUCGAGCUCAAUUGCGAGCGAAGUCAUUGAUGCCAUGCUUCCAAGAAAAGCCUCUAAGCUUCAGGUAUAUAGAGACCGUACUCUAAACCGACACAGGUGAUCAGGUAGAGAAUACCAAGGCGCUUGAGAGAACUAUGGUGAAGGAACUAGGCAAAAUGGUGCCGUAACUUCGGGAGAAGGCACGCCGAUUUUGGUGAUGGGAUUUACUCCCUAAGCUGAGGUUGGCCGCAGAGACCAGGCCCCUGCGACUGUUUAUCUAAAACACAGCACUCUGCAAACUCGUAAGAGGAAGUAUAGGGUGUGACGCCUGCCCGGUGCCGGAAGGUUAAUUGAUGGGGUUAGCUUCGGCGAAGCUCUUGAUCGAAGCCCCGGUAAACGGCGGCCGUAACUAUAACGGUCCUAAGGUAGCGAAAUUCCUUGUCGGGUAAGUUCCGACCUGCACGAAUGGCGUAACGAUGGGGGCGCUGUCUCCACCAUAGACUCAGUGAAAUCGAAAUCGCGGUGAAGAUGCCGUGUUCCCGCGGCUAGACGGAAAGACCCCGUGAACCUUUACUAUAGCUUGGCACUGAACUUUGAACCUAUCUGUGUAGGAUAGGUGGGAGGCUUUGAAGCGUGAUCGCUAGAUUG